This 71-nucleotide transfer RNA is filed under the name Marmota monax (woodchuck). Its description in RNAcentral is "tRNA.Ala". Lineage: Eukaryota; Metazoa; Chordata; Mammalia; Rodentia; Sciuridae. The record is from RNAcentral.
GGGUUGUGCUCAGUGGUGGAGCACUUGCCUAGCAUGUGCGAGGCCCUGGGUUCAAUCCUCAGCACCACACA